This 462-nucleotide ribosomal RNA is filed under the name uncultured bacterium. RNAcentral describes it as "partial 16S ribosomal RNA". It matches the Rfam family "Bacterial small subunit ribosomal RNA", at positions 29 to 523 of the family's 1533-position model. The record is from RNAcentral.
AAUGAACGUUGGCGGCAUGGAUUAGGCAUGCAAGUCGGGGGAAUCCCAGUAAUGGGGGAACCGGCGUAAGGGGCAGUAAGGCAUGGGUACCUACCUUGGGGUUCGGGAUAGCCAUCAGAGAUGGUGGGUAAUACCGGAUGACGUCGUGAGACCAAAGAUUCAUCGCCCUUAGAGGGGCCCAUGUGAUAUUAGCUAGUUGGUGGGGUAACGGCCCACCAAGGCGAAGAUGUCUAGCGGGUGUGAGAGCACGACCCGCGCCACUCGCACUGAGACACUGGCGAGACACCUACGGGUGGCUGCAGUCGAGGAUCUUCGGCAAUGAGCGCAAGCUUGACCGAGCGAUGCCGCGUGAGCGAUGAAGGCCUUCGGGUUGUAAAGCUCUUUAGUGGGGGAGAAAAGCCGCAAGGUGUGAUCUAUCCCAAAAAUAAGCACGGGCUAAGUUCGUGCCAGCCGCCGCCGUAA